CAUUAUUGAAUAAACCUGAUGUAGUUGUAGCUGGCUCCUAGGAGCAUGUGCACGCUCGUCACUUUUAUCUUUCCACCUGUGCACCCAUUGUAGGCCUGGAUAACCCUCGCUUGGUUUCAAGCGGACGCGAGAAUUGCUGCUGCUCUUUCUGCAAGGAAAGGCCGGCUUUUUUCGAAUUUCCAGGUCUAUGUUUUCUUACAUACCCCAAUUGAAUGUUACCGAAUGUUAUCAAUGGGCAUAUGCCUAUAAAACACAAUACAACUUUCAGCAACGGAUCUCUUGGCUCUCGCAUCGAUGAAGAACGCAGCGAAAUGCGAUAAGUAAUGUGAAUUGCAGAAUUCAGUGAAUCAUCGAAUCUUUGAACGCACCUUGCGCUCCUUGGUAUUCCGAGGAGCAUGCCUGUUUGAGUGUCAUUAAAUUCUCAACUUCACCAACUUUGUUGUUGAAGCUUGGAUGUGGGGGUUUUGCAGGUCUGCCUUAAUUGUGUGGUCUGCUCUCCUGAAAUAUAUUAGCGGGUUGGCUUCCCUCUAUCAGUGUGAUAAUUAUCUACGCUGUGGAUGGGUUUGGCUUUCAGACCAGCUUCUAAUCGUCCUUCUAGGACAAUCUCUUGACAUUUUUGACCU
RNAcentral lists this ribosomal RNA (623 nucleotides) under Lacrymaria lacrymabunda. RNAcentral's name for it is "eukaryotic LSU rRNA". The stretch from base 260 to 413 matches the Rfam family "5.8S ribosomal RNA". Lineage: Eukaryota; Fungi; Basidiomycota; Agaricomycetes; Agaricales; Psathyrellaceae. The record is from RNAcentral.